UGUAGAGACAGUUAGACCUGAGUAUUUUUAUGCUAGGUUUGCUGAAAAAUGGACGGUCGUGGAGGAAUAUGAUAGGUUUGGGAGUAUGAGUUUUCCUUUCAUGUACACCAAAUAAAUAUGAACACCUUCUUGAUGCCUCUUCCCACAAUGUGUCCUCCUGUGCACGUGCACCCCUGGUGUCUCUCCUUCGACUUAUAAGGACACUAAAUCAGGGGGAGGGUAUAGCUCAGUGGUAGAGCACAUGCUUAGCAUGCACGAGGUCCUGGGUUCAAUCCCCAGUACCUCCUCUAAAAAUAAAUAAACCUAAUUAGCCCCCCACACCAAAAUAAAAUAAUUAAAUAAUACAAUAAUAAAUACAUAAAAUGUUUAAAAAAUAUAAGGACACUAAUCAUAUUUGAUUAAAGUUCACCCUAAUAGCCUCAUUUUAACUUAGUCACCCCUUUACAAGCCCUAUCCCCAAACACUGUUACUUUCUGAGGUACUGGGGGUUAGGGCUUCAACACACUUCAGUCCAUAACUGGAAGUAAUUUCUUGAUAACAAAAAUAGCUAACAUUCACUGAGCAAUUCUUAUAUGCUAUUAAUCAAAAUAAGCACUUUACACAUUUUAACUCAUUUCAUCCUCAUAACAACCUGAUGAGCUAGAUACUUUUAUAAUCCCCAUUCUGCAGAUACAAAGACUGGGGCAGAGAGAGCAUAAGUAACUUGCCCAAGGUCUCACAGCUAGAAGGUGGCAGAGCAAGGAUAUGAAACCAGAUGUCUUGGCUACAAAACCCAAGACACUUUAUAGCAUACAGACAGAAAUGUUUUUUCAGCAGAAAAUCUGCUAUCCCAAAUUGGUUAACUAUGGUUCAGUAUUCUGUCUGUUAUGGACUGAACUGUGCUCCCUAAAAUUCAUAUAUUGAAUCCCUCACCCAUAUUGUGACUAUAUUUGGAGAAAGGGCCUUUAAAGAGAUGAUCAUGGUUAAAAGCAGUCAUAAGAAUGGGACCCUAAUCCAGUAGGAUUAUUGUCUUUACAAGAAGAAGCAGCGACACCAGGGGUGCAUGUGCACAGAGAAAGGCCACGUGAAGAAAGCAGAAACGCAGCCAUCUGCAAGCCAAGGAGAAACCAAACCUGCCAACAUCUUGAACUUGGACUUCCAGCCUCCAGAACUGUGAGAAAAUUAAUUACUAUGGUUUAAGCCACUUAGUCGUGGUAUCUUGUUAUG
Vicugna pacos (alpaca) is the source of this 1206-nucleotide non-coding RNA. The record is from RefSeq and is a predicted model, not a curated record. NCBI's taxonomy places the organism in Eukaryota, Metazoa, Chordata, Mammalia, Artiodactyla, Camelidae.